CUUGCUAUUGCCGACUGACGGACGGCCCGUUUCCCUAUCAUUUUUUAUGCUGCAUAUCAAUUGUUGUUGCUGUUGUAGCAGUUAUCAAGCCCUGCUACGUACGGUAGAGUCACUGGCUGCUGUUGUCAUCUAACGGUAGAUCAAGGAAACAUGCUGCUUCGUCGAGAUGGGUCCAAAUGGAGAGAGGUGUUAGAAUACCGAUACUGAUGUCAACCAUUUUCAAUUACUUGAACAAAAGUUGUUCGGUGAACUAAAAAAAAUUUUUAUGAUUAACUGGCUUCACCCACCAAGUGUAACGCGACAGAAACUGGAGCUUUAACGGUCUAAUAACCGCAAAUGAACGUAAAGCAUAGACGCAUAAGGCAUGGAGGACUACAACUUAACUCAAGAAGUGAAGAGACAUGACGUGAUUGUCGGGUGCAAAUAACACCGAUAUACUCGUACCACAGAAAUCUCUGAUUUUAUUUAGUGCACCCGUUCAAUCGUUCAUAAGGUUCUUCCUGAAUUGGAAGCAACAUACGGCGAUGCAGAAUAUUGCAAAACGCAAAAAAAAAAAACAACACGAACACAUAAAGAUCUGCGAUAUAAAUCCUACGUUAUGCGCAGAAGAAAAUGUAUUUCGGAGUAAAUACGAGAACAGGUUGUUAUCGGAUCAAAACGCCUUCUGAACAAAAUUAGACACCCCAAAGCGUAUAUCAGUGCCAAAGACCUCAAGCCUGCAAUCGACAAAACAACUAAAGAAUCAAUGAAUAAUAGAAAGAAAAACAUUAA
Molecule: long non-coding RNA, 771 nt
Organism: Anastrepha obliqua
Lineage: Eukaryota; Metazoa; Arthropoda; Insecta; Diptera; Tephritidae
Exons: 3
Source: RefSeq, a predicted model, not a curated record